This 217-nucleotide ribosomal RNA is filed under the name uncultured bacterium. RNAcentral describes it as "partial 16S ribosomal RNA". It matches the Rfam family "Bacterial small subunit ribosomal RNA", at positions 114 to 334 of the family's 1533-position model. The record is from RNAcentral.
AACGUGGGUCAUCUACCUUGAGGUGAGGAAUACCGGCGAGAAAUCGCCGACAAUACCGCAUAUCUUUCUUUCGAGAAAGAAAGCUGCUCGCAAGAGUGGCGCCCCAAGAUGAGCCUGCGCCCGAUUAGCUAGUUGGGGAGGUAAGAGCUUCCCAAGGCGACAAUCGGUAGCUGGUCUGAGAGGACGAUCAGCCACACUGGGAUUGAGAACGGCCCAG